UACGUAGGGUGCGAGCGUUGUCCGGAAUUAUUGGGCGUAAAGAGCUCGUAGGCGGUUUGUCACGUCUGCUGUGAAAUCCCGAGGCUCAACCUCGGGCCUGCAGUGGGUACGGGCAGACUGGAGUGCGGUAGGGGAGGAUGGAAUUCCUGGUGUAGCGGUGGAAUGCGCAGAUAUCAGGAGGAACACCGAUGGCGAAGGCGGUUCUCUGGGACGGUACUGACGCUGAGACGCGAAAGCGUGGGGAGCGAACAGG
This 253-nucleotide ribosomal RNA is filed under the name uncultured bacterium. RNAcentral describes it as "partial 16S ribosomal RNA". It matches the Rfam family "Bacterial small subunit ribosomal RNA", at positions 524 to 776 of the family's 1533-position model. The record is from RNAcentral.